GGGCGUCAAAGCUUACCAAAGAAUAUCAAACUCCGAAUGCCAUGUAGAUGAUGAAUGGGAGUCAGACUGCACGAGAUAAGUUGGGUGGUCAAAAGGGAAAGAGCCCAGACCUACAGCUAAGGUCCCAAAGUGCGUGUUAAGUGGAAAAGGAUGUGGGAUUUCGAAGACAACUAGGAUGUUGGCUCAGAAGCAGCCACACAUUAAAAGAGUGCGUAAUAGCUCACUAGUCGAGAGGUCCUGCGCCGAAAAUGUCCGGGGCUGAAACACGACACCGAAGCUUAGGAAUCACAUAGUGAUUGGUAGAGGAGCAUUCUUAAAACCGACGAAGCUGUACCGGAAGGAGCAGUGGAGGGAUAAGAAGAGAGAAUGCCGGAAUGAGUAGCGAGAGGAAGGUGGGAAUCCUUCCGGCCGAAUAUCUAAGGUUUCCAGAGUAAAGCUGAUCUGCUCUGGGUAAGUCGGGGCCUAAGGAGAGGUCGCAAGACGUAUCCGAUGGACAACAGGUUUAGAUUCCUGUACCGCAUAUAAACAGAACUGUGGGGACGCAUGUGGAAAGCAUAAGCCGGGAAUGGAAAGACCGGUACAAGCGGGGUAGGUGUGUGACAGGCAAAUCCGUCACAUAAGCCGAAGACGUGAUGUGGAGCGAAAUUAAGUAGUGAAGUAUGUGAGCCAUGUGCCGAGAAAAGCCGCUAUUGUUUUAUAUGUGCCCGUACCGUAAACCGACACAGGUGGAUGAGGAGAGAAUCCUAAGGCCGACGGAAGAAGCAUUGUUAAGGAAUUCGGCAAAAUGACCCCGUAACUUCGGGAGAAGGGGUGCCCACUGAAUGGUGGGCCGCAGAGAAUAGGCUCAAGCAACUGUUUAGCAAAAACACAGGUCUAUGCGAAACCGAAAGGUGAGGUAUAUGGGCUGACGCCUGCCCGGUGCUGGAAGGUUAAGAGGAGAGGUUAGCGCAAGCGAAGCUUUGAAUUUAAGCCCCAGUAAACGGCGGCCGUAACUAUAACGGUCCUAAGGUAGCGAAAUUCCUUGUCGGGUAAGUUCCGACCCGCACGAAAGGCGUAAUGAUUUGAGCACUGUCUCGACAAUGCAUCCGGUGAAAUUGAAGUACCAGUGAAGAUGCUGGUUACCUGCGCCAGGACGGAAAGACCCCAUGGAGCUUUACUCCAGCUUGAUACUGGGAUUCGGUAUUGCAUGUACAGGAUAGGUGGGAGACUAGGAGACAUGAACGCCAGUUUGUGUGGAGUCGCCCUUGGGAUACCACCCUUGCA
Molecule: ribosomal RNA, 1263 nt
Filed under: human gut metagenome
Description: bacterial LSU rRNA
Rfam family: Bacterial large subunit ribosomal RNA
Source: RNAcentral